Molecule: non-coding RNA, 70 nt
Filed under: Sporomusa malonica
Lineage: Bacteria; Bacillati; Bacillota; Negativicutes; Selenomonadales; Sporomusaceae
Description: Bacterial small subunit ribosomal RNA
Rfam family: Bacterial small subunit ribosomal RNA
Source: Rfam by way of RNAcentral
GGGGUCAAUGAUUGGGGUGAAGUCGUAACAAGGUAGCCGUAUCGGAAGGUGCGGCUGGAUCACCUCCUUU